RNAcentral lists this ribosomal RNA (442 nucleotides) under uncultured bacterium. RNAcentral's name for it is "SSU rRNA". It matches the Rfam family "Bacterial small subunit ribosomal RNA", at positions 26 to 518 of the family's 1533-position model. The record is from RNAcentral.
AGAACGAACGCUGGCGGCAGGCCUAACACAUGCAAGUCGAACGCCCCGCAAGGGGAGUGGCAGACGGGUGAGUAACACGUGGGAACCUUCCCUAUAGUACGGAAUAGCCCAGGGAAACUUGGAGUAAUACCGUAUACGCCCGAAAGGGGAAAGAUUAUCGCUAUAGGAUGGGCCCGCGUAGGAUUAGCUAGUUGGUGAGGUAAUGGCUCACCAAGGCGACGAUCCUUAGCUGGUUUGAGAGAACGACCAGCCACACUGGGACUGAGACACGGCCCAGACUCCUACGGGAGGCAGCAGUGGGGAAUAUUGGACAAUGGGCGCAAGCCUGAUCCAGCCAUGCCGCGUGAGUGAUGAAGGCCUUAGGGUUGUAAAGCUCUUUUGCCGGGGACGAUAAUGACGGUACCCGGAGAAUAAGUCCGGCUAACUUCGUGCCAGCAGCCGC